Molecule: unclassified non-coding RNA, 20 nt
Filed under: Mus musculus (house mouse)
Lineage: Eukaryota; Metazoa; Chordata; Mammalia; Rodentia; Muridae
Description: oocyte_clustered_small_RNA6677
Source: RNAcentral
ACAGAACCCAAGUCUACCAG